Molecule: ribosomal RNA, 621 nt
Filed under: Vreelandella titanicae BH1
Lineage: Bacteria; Pseudomonadati; Pseudomonadota; Gammaproteobacteria; Oceanospirillales; Halomonadaceae
Description: bacterial SSU rRNA
Rfam family: Bacterial small subunit ribosomal RNA
Source: RNAcentral
ACCCGCUGACGAGCGGCGGAAGGGUGAGUAAUGCAUAGGAAUCUGCCCGAUAGUGGGGGAUAACCUGGGGAAACCCAGGCUAAUACCGCAUACGUCCUACGGGAGAAAGGGGGCUCCGGCUCCCGCUAUUGGAUGAGCCUAUGUCGGAUUAGCUAGUUGGUAAGGUAAUGGCUUACCAAGGCAACGAUCCGUAGCUGGUCUGAGAGGAUGAUCAGCCACAUCGGGACUGAGACACGGCCCGAACUCCUACGGGAGGCAGCAGUGGGGAAUAUUGGACAAUGGGGGCAACCCUGAUCCAGCCAUGCCGCGUGUGUGAAGAAGGCCCUCGGGUUGUAAAGCACUUUCAGCGAGGAAGAACGCCUAUCGGUUAAUACCCGGUAGGAAAGACAUCACUCGCAGAAGAAGCACCGGCUAACUCCGUGCCAGCAGCCGCGGUAAUACGGAGGGUGCAAGCGUUAAUCGGAAUUACUGGGCGUAAAGCGCGCGUAGGUGGCUUGAUAAGCCGGUUGUGAAAGCCCCGGGCUCAACCUGGGAACGGCAUCCGGAACUGUCAGGCUAGAGUGCAGGAGAGGAAGGUAGAAUUCCCGGUGUAGCGGUGAAAUGCGUAGAGAUCGGGAGGAA